UUGUUAAUAAUUUUUUAUUUUUUGGUUGCUCAGAAUGCAAGAAAGAGCAUUUCCAGGUUUCAAAUUUCAAAAAUUUUCUGGAGAUUUUGCCCCCACACACGUGGCCUUCGGCCAUUGGUAUCCCCCUCUAAUAAGUAUAAUGAUAAGUUACGGUUAAUAUUCUUUUUUACUUUUUGUGCAUUUUUUCCUUCUUUUAUUUCAAAUACAAGUAUAGUUAGCAUAAAUUUUAGAGCAAAUUUGGAUGCUCAGAAUGCAGGAAAUGGCAUUUCCGUGUUUCAAAUUUCAAAAAUUUUCUGGGGGAGUACACCCCCACACAUGUGACCAUUGGGAUCCUCCUCUAAUAAGUAAUGAUAAAUUAUGGUUAAUAUUUUUUUUAACUUUCUGUGUUUUUUUUUCCUUCUUUUAUUUCAAAUACAAGUACAGUUAGUAUACAUU
Non-coding RNA from Paramuricea clavata, 435 nucleotides. The record is from the annotation of a GenBank genome assembly. Lineage: Eukaryota; Metazoa; Cnidaria; Anthozoa; Malacalcyonacea; Plexauridae.